UUACGGGACGCUCCAGUGGGGAAUAUUGCACAAUGGGGGGAACCCUGAUGCAGCAACGCCGCGUGGAGGAUGACGCAUUUCGGUGUGUAAACUCCUUUUAUAUGUCAAGAAAAUGACGGUAGCAUAUGAAUAAGCACCGGCUAACUCCGUGCCAGCAGCCGCGGUAAUACGGAGGGUGCAAGCGUUACUCGGAAUCACUGGGCGUAAAGGACGCGUAGGCGGGUUGGAAAGUCAGGUGUGAAAUCCUACAGCUUAACUGUAGAACUGCACUUGAAACUUCUAAUCUAGAGUAUGGGAGGGGGAGAUGGAAUUAGUGGUGUAGGGGUAAAUCCGUAGAUAUCACUAGGAAUACCUAAAGCGAAGGCGAUCUCCUGGAACAUUACUGACGCUAAGGCGUGAAAGCGUGGGGAGCAAACAGGAUUAGAUACCCGAGUAGUC
This 438-nucleotide ribosomal RNA is filed under the name uncultured bacterium. Its description in RNAcentral is "partial 16S ribosomal RNA". It matches the Rfam family "Bacterial small subunit ribosomal RNA", at positions 339 to 795 of the family's 1533-position model. The record is from RNAcentral.